AAGAUUUUAAGUUAAAAAAACUAUUACCCUUCAAAGUUAAAAAUAAAUUAUUAUAAAUUUAAAUCUUA
This 68-nucleotide transfer RNA is filed under the name Runaria sp. 'striata'. RNAcentral's name for it is "tRNA-Trp". The record is from RNAcentral. Lineage: Eukaryota; Metazoa; Arthropoda; Insecta; Hymenoptera; Blasticotomidae.